This 499-nucleotide ribosomal RNA is filed under the name uncultured Glomeromycotina. Its description in RNAcentral is "partial small subunit ribosomal RNA". It matches the Rfam family "Eukaryotic small subunit ribosomal RNA", at positions 591 to 1092 of the family's 1831-position model. The record is from RNAcentral. Lineage: Eukaryota; Fungi; Glomeromycota.
CCAAUAGCGUAUAUUAAAGUUGCUGCAGUUAAAAAGCUCGUAGUUGAAUUUCGGGAUCAUCAUGUCGGUCGUGCCUCGGUACGUACUGGCAUCGUUGAUUUCUCCCUUCUGACGAACCAUGAUGUCAUUUAUUUGGUGUUGUGGGGAAUCAGGACUGUUACUUUGAAAAAAUUAGAGUGUUUAAAGCAGGCUCACGCUUGAAUACAUUAGCAUGGAAUAAUGAAAUAGGACGUUUGAUUCUAUUUUGUUGGUUUCUAGGAUCGACGUAAUGAUUAAUAGGGGUAGUUGGGGGCAUUAGUAUUCAAUUGUCAGAGGCGAAAUUCUUGGAUUUAUUGAAGACUAACUACUGCGGAAGCAUUUGCCAAGGAUGUUUUCAUUAAUCAAGAACGAAAGUUAGGGGAUCGAAGACGAUCAGAUACCGUCGUAGUCUUAACCAUAAACUAUGCCGACUAGGGAUCGGAUGAUGUUAAUUUUUUAAUGACUCAUUCGGCGCCUUACG